This 32-nucleotide small RNA is filed under the name Bombyx mori (domestic silkworm). RNAcentral's name for it is "ovarian small RNA-1764". Lineage: Eukaryota; Metazoa; Arthropoda; Insecta; Lepidoptera; Bombycidae. The record is from RNAcentral.
GAGGUAUGCUGAGAGGGCCCUAUGGUCGCCCG